GUUGGUGAGGUAGAAGCUCACCAAGGCGACGACGGGUAGCCGGCCUGAGAGGGCGACCGGCCACACUGGGACUGAGACACGGCCCAGACUCCUACGGGAGGCAGCAGUGGGGAAUAUUGCACAAUGGGCGAAAGCCUGAUGCAGAGACGCCGCGUGAGGGAUGACGGCCUUCGGGUUGUAAACCUCUUUCAGCAGGGAAGAAGCGAAAGUGACGGUACCUGCAGAAGAAGCGCCGGCUAACUACGUGCCAGCAGCCGCGGUAAUACGUAGGGCGCAAGCGUUGUCCGGAAUUAUUGGGCGUAAAGAGCUCGUAGGCGGCUUGUCACGUCGGUUGUGAAAGCCCGGGGCUUAACCCCGGGUGUGCAGUCGAUACGGGCAGGCUAGAGUGUGGUAGGGGAGAUCGGAAUUCCUGGUGUAGCGGUGAAAUGCGCAGAUAUCAGGAGGAACACCGGUGGCGAAGGCGGAUCUCUGGGCCAUUACUGACGCUGAGGAGCGAAAGCAUGGGGAGCGAACAGGAUUAGAUACCCUGGUAGUCCUCCCCGUAAACGGUGGGAACUAGGUGUUGGGGACAUUCCACGUCGUCGGU
RNAcentral lists this ribosomal RNA (586 nucleotides) under Streptomyces sp. RNAcentral describes it as "bacterial SSU rRNA". It matches the Rfam family "Bacterial small subunit ribosomal RNA", at positions 248 to 844 of the family's 1533-position model. The record is from RNAcentral. Lineage: Bacteria; Bacillati; Actinomycetota; Actinomycetes; Kitasatosporales; Streptomycetaceae.